AAGCCACUCAACCCCAUCAAAUGGAGAGAUGUUAAGCAGCUCUGUGAUUGGCCACCGGAACACCGUCCAUAAGAUGACUCUGACCACGUGACCAAUCACGGCACGAGAUACUACAAAGGCCAUAGAUGAGUUUGACUUUUAUAUGGGUGCAUGCACGUAACACUAUUCUUACUCUGCUUGGCAUUCAUGUUAGUCUUUAGUUAUUUCUUGAGUUGUUUUUAUUGUGUUGCUUGUAGCAUUAUAGUUUUAAACCCAACAGUGUGUGUGUAAAAUGUGUACAACAUGGACUUAUCGGUCAUAAAAAGGAUGUAUAGAUGUUUGAGAUGCUGGCCAAGUAGCACAGGAAGACCCAUGAGAUGGGAGGAGUUAAGCUCAGCUGUGUGAGCAAGAACGGACCAUGAAUGGCAAACACUAGUGGAGAGAGACAAUAUUGGAAGUGGGGAUGGAGGGAACUAGAAUGCUUAAUAUCUGACACUGGAUCAGUGAUGGACACUGAACACCGUCAGUGGAAAGCUAGCAGACCUGUCUGACUCAGGUCCUGGGGCAGCUCUUAGAUGUUAGUGGACCUCUUCUUUAGAAAUGAGCACAGAUACAGAUACACACCCAAAACUAAGUCAAAUGUGCUCAGUAGUGAUGAUCAGAAGCUCAGAACUCAGAGCUUUGUGUCUACUAGAGCUUGAGUCACAGAUACCAGGUCGUUGGCUGUUAUAAUGUCCUAAAUAAGUCGACUUUGGUGAUCUGUGUCUCCAGCAGCACCAGGUAUGAAGCUGGACCGUCGCAUGGUUGUUUCUGCCUGUGAUGCACAACUGGAACCUGAGUGCAGGACAGCUAAAGUCUCUCUAGUUCAAAUUGAAGAAAUAACACAGAAACCAGCUUAAUACUUUCAUUUACAUCCGCUGUCUCCCACAGCUAAAAGAAGAGAAGCUAAUGGUUAUUGUAACGAUCCCUGAGCACAUUCUAGCGCUGGUCUACCUGGAACCAAGAUUAACAGGGAUGGAACCGAGUCUGUAUGUUUCCAGGCUGGCAGGAGAGGAUUGAUUGUGUGUUGGAGCAGGUUAUGACUUGUGAUUAUUUUUCUUUCUCACUGACAAUAGAACAUGCACAGUACCAAGUAGAGACAGUUAGUUAACAUACCGUAAGCCCAGUUCUCGGUGACUAACUAGGCCAGAUAAUAACAAUGAUCGGGACAUCUGGAGUCCAAAAUGUGCAGAGGUGAGAAUAAUGUGUUCAUCGCAUGCAUUCAGCCUCUCAUGCAAACAUUGAGCUCUCCACUUUCUCUGCUCUAAUCAAAUAUAACAGCAGGUCAGCAGCCAACAGAAGCAGUGCCGAUCAUUUGGCUGCUUUGUUCAGUGUCCUACGGGCUGGUAGUGGGACACCACCAGACCUGGCCAGUGGAGAACAAGCCAUAAAACCACCCAAAGAGUGGAAGAACGUCUAGAGGAAACACUGACAGACUGUAAAUAAUGGUCUUCUUUUAGGUCAGAUUUAAGAUGUGAUCUAUUUCCGCCUCGGUGAAA
This is a long non-coding RNA of Etheostoma spectabile (orangethroat darter), 1517 nucleotides long. RefSeq lists it as uncharacterized. The transcript is spliced from 2 exons. Lineage: Eukaryota; Metazoa; Chordata; Actinopteri; Perciformes; Percidae. The record is from RefSeq and is a predicted model, not a curated record.